CUCAAGGUGCCGCUGCUGCUGGGCCACCUUCUGGAAGAGUUGCUGGAUUCUGCUGUUCUGAGUCUUGAGCUGAGUCUGAGGAGAGUGUGAAAACCCUGGUCUUGACGUGCCUUCUCCGUGCCUUUUCUGAGGACCAUGGGAGACGUGAUUCUCCCCAUCCCGUGGUGCCCUUCCAAGCGCCGGAAUCCCAAGAACCCCAGCCGCCCCCGCCGGUCUCAGUGGGGAAAAGGCGGGCUGCAUUCUUGACCCCCUUCCCAAGUCAAAAGCUGGGGUCCUCAGUGUCUGAGUCUGCCUGAAUCAAAGCGAGAACCUCAGAACAGAAAGAAGGGAUGCACGGGAGGAAGCUCACUUUGAGUGAGAAGCCAGCUUCCAUGCUGUGAGGACACUCAAGCAGCCCUUUGGAGAGAUCCACCCAGCAACCAACAUCAGCUUGUCAGCCACACAAGGGAGCGAUUGUAGAAGCAGAUCCUCCAGCCCCAAUCAAGCUUUCAGAUGAUGUAACCCCAGCUGGCAUCUGUUCGCAGCCUCAUGAGACUCCGAGCUCACCCAGCUAAGCCGCUCCCAAGCUCCUGACCCAUAGAAACUAUGAAAUAAUAAAUGUGAAUUGUUGUUUUAAGCUACUCGUUAUACAGCUAAUACAAUAGCUAACACUUAAAUAAUGCCCACCCUGUGUCUGGCAUUAUUUUAAGUAUUUCACACGUGUACAUUCACUUAUUAUAUCCUAUGAGGUCGGCACACUACUGUUUUUUUGUUUUGUUUUUUAAUUACGUAUAGUCGAUUUACAAUGUUGUGUUAGU
Non-coding RNA from Vicugna pacos (alpaca), 797 nucleotides. The record is from RefSeq and is a predicted model, not a curated record. Lineage: Eukaryota; Metazoa; Chordata; Mammalia; Artiodactyla; Camelidae.